CAGCCGCCACGGGAAUACGGAGGGGGCUAGCGUUGUUCGGAAUUACUGGGCGUAAAGCGCACGUAGGCGGUUAUUCAAGUCAGAGGUGAAAGCCCGGGGCUCAACCCCGGAACUGCCUUUGAAACUAGAUGACUAGAAUCUUGGAGAGGCGAGUGGAAUUCCGAGUGUAGAGGUGAAAUUCGUAGAUAUUCGGAAGAACACCAGUGGCGAAGGCGACUCGCUGGACAAGUAUUGACGCUGAGGUGCGAAAGCGUGGGGAGCAAACAGGAUUAGAGACCCCAGUAGUCCCUGUCUCUCAUAA
This 301-nucleotide ribosomal RNA is filed under the name uncultured bacterium. RNAcentral describes it as "partial 16S ribosomal RNA". It matches the Rfam family "Bacterial small subunit ribosomal RNA", at positions 509 to 809 of the family's 1533-position model. The record is from RNAcentral.